GGCUAGUCUGAGUGCAGUGGUGUUUACAACUAAUUGAUCACAACCAGUUACAGAUUUCUUUGUUCCUUCUCCACUCCCACUGCUUCACUUGACUAGCCUUAA
Molecule: unclassified non-coding RNA, 102 nt
Organism: Cavia porcellus (domestic guinea pig)
Lineage: Eukaryota; Metazoa; Chordata; Mammalia; Rodentia; Caviidae
Rfam family: Y RNA
About the family: Y RNAs are components of the Ro ribonucleoprotein particle (Ro RNP), in association with Ro60 and La proteins.
Source: Ensembl